Molecule: ribosomal RNA, 406 nt
Filed under: uncultured bacterium
Lineage: Bacteria
Description: partial 16S ribosomal RNA
Rfam family: Bacterial small subunit ribosomal RNA
Source: RNAcentral
AUUGAACGCUGGCGGCAGGCCUAACACAUGCAAGUCGAACGAGUGGCGGACGGGUGAGUAAUGUCUGGGAAACUGCCUGAUGGAGGGGGAUAACUACUGGAAACGGUAGCUAAUACCGCAUAACAUCAGCUGUGCCCAGAUGGGAUUAGCUUGUUGGUGGGGUAAAGGCUCACCAAGUCGACGAUCCCUAGCUGGUCUGAGAGGAUGACCGGCCACACUGGAACUGAGACACGUUCCAGCCUCCUACGGGAGGCAGCAGUGGGGAAUAUGGGGCAAUGGGCGAAAGCCUGAGCCAGCCAUGCCGCGUGUGUGAAGAAGGUCUUCGGAUUGUAAAGCACUUUAAGUUGGGAGGCGUUACCAACAGAAUAAGCACCGGCUAACUUCGUGCCAGCAGCCGCGGUAAUAC